GCGCGGGGUAGGAAGCAAGACUGAGGGGCCUCAGACCGAGCUUUUGGAAAAUAGAAAAGUCUCGCUCUCUGCCCCUCAGCCUAACUUCCUCUAU
This 94-nucleotide microRNA precursor is filed under the name Pongo abelii (Sumatran orangutan). Its description in RNAcentral is "sense intronic". The record is from RNAcentral. Lineage: Eukaryota; Metazoa; Chordata; Mammalia; Primates; Hominidae.